RNAcentral lists this ribosomal RNA (455 nucleotides) under Peripatidae gen. sp. LE-2014. Its description in RNAcentral is "partial 16S ribosomal RNA". It matches the Rfam family "Bacterial large subunit ribosomal RNA", at positions 1831 to 2600 of the family's 2925-position model. Lineage: Eukaryota; Metazoa; Onychophora; Udeonychophora; Euonychophora; Peripatidae. The record is from RNAcentral.
AGUUAUUUGAAUAUAUAAAUAAUAACGCCUGCUCAAUGAAAUUUAAAUAGCCGCGGUAUUUAUGACUGUGCAAAGGUAGCAUAAUCAUUUGUCUUAUAAAUUAAGACUUGAAUGAAUGGUAUUAUGAAUUAAAACUUUUUUAUAUAAAAAAAUAAAAUUAAUUUUUUUAGUGAAGAAACUAAAAUAUUGAUGUAAGACGAGAAGACCCUAUAAGUUUUAUAUAUACUGUAUAUUUUAUUGGGGUAAUAAAAGAAAAAUGUUUCUUUAAAAAUAUUUAAUGAUAAUUUUUGAUCUUAUAAUAUAAAUUAGAAGAAAAAUUACUUUAGGGAUAACAGCAUAAUAUUUUUUGAGAGCUCUUAUCGACAAAAAUGUUUGUGACCUCGAUGUUGGAUUAAAAAAGUUAUAUAAGUGAAGAUAUUAUAAUAAUUAGUCUGUUCGACUAUUAAAAUUUUACA